This 494-nucleotide ribosomal RNA is filed under the name uncultured bacterium. RNAcentral's name for it is "partial 16S ribosomal RNA". It matches the Rfam family "Bacterial small subunit ribosomal RNA", at positions 28 to 507 of the family's 1533-position model. The record is from RNAcentral.
GACGAACGCUGGCGGCGUGCUUAACACAUGCAAGUCGAACGGAAAGGCCUGCUUUCCCUUGUGGAUUGCGGGUACUCGAGUGGCGAACGGGUGAGUAACACGUGAGUGAUCUGCCCCCAACUUGGGUAUAAGCCUGGGAAACUGGGUCUAAUUCCCGAUAGGACUGCAGGGUGGUGCCUGUGGUGGAAAACGAUUUUCUAGUGGUUGGGGAUGAGCUGGGGGCCUAUCAGGUUGUUGGUGGGGUAAUGGCCUACCAAGGCGGCGACGGGUAGCCGGCCUGGGAGGGUGGACGGCCACAUUGGGAAUGAGAUACGGCCCAGACUCCUACGGGAGGCAGCAGUGGGGAAUAUUGCACAAGGGGCGGAAGCCUGAGGCAGCGACGCCGCGUGGGGGAUGACGGCCUUCGGGUUGUAAACUCCUUUCGACCGCGAGGAAGCCACCUGGUUGGAAGGGUGGUGACGGUAGUGGUAGAAGAAGCACCGGCUAACUACGUG